This 775-nucleotide long non-coding RNA is filed under the name Monodelphis domestica (gray short-tailed opossum). RNAcentral describes it as "lncRNA (ENSMODG00000037734.1)". The record is from RNAcentral. Lineage: Eukaryota; Metazoa; Chordata; Mammalia; Didelphimorphia; Didelphidae.
CAUUUAUCAUUGCAUACUAUAUAUAAUCUUUAUACAUGAGGAAAUAGAGAUUAAGAAGAGGCUUGCCCAACAUAACAAAAUGAUGUCAGUGGUAUAAUCAGAACCCAAGUCUAGCACCAUACUGCUUCUAGCUGUAUGAUCUCAGACAUCUCAUCUCCCCUGCCCGAGCCUCUAUUUCCUUACCAACAAAAUUAAAAAAAAAAACGAACAGCAAUUAAUUAAAACUGGGUGGGCUCCAAAGUUCUCUCUUAUUUUAUAGUCUUCUCAGUUUCCAGGAAGAUGUAACAAUCCUUAAUUGCUUAAUAAACAUCAGAGGUGGAAAUAGCCAUUACUCACACCUGCCACAGCCAAAUGGCAGACCAGGCUACAUUUCUUUUCCUCUUCCAGUUCUCAGGAUCAUCUCAAAGGAGUUGACACCAGGGAAAAAGAGAGUGGCGUAGGGGUGGGCUGUCUCAUUUAUGUACCUACUCAAUUCCAGCUCAGCAGUCUUUGAGCCAUGGACUGUAGCUACACAGCCAAUUAGAAGACUUCAUCAUUACAGAACAAGGCUCUGAGUCAUGUAUUUGCUCAGACUGAAAUCAGAUUGGUUGUGGAGAUGCAAACUGGAAUCUGAAUGCCUGCAGUCCUGGGAUGGACUUUUGGAGUGUUAAAGGACCAACAGGUGCUACAGCGUGACUGGCCAAGAGCGUACGAUAAUUCUAGGGACUCAUAUUUUGGAUUCUUUCCAACAGGCAAUGAAAAAACUGAGGUCCAGAGAGAUGAAGUUAUUGGCUGA